UACAGAGGUCUCAAGCGUUGUUCGGAUUCAUUGGGCGUAAAGGGCGCGUAGGCGGCGGGGUAAGUCGGGUGUGAAAUCUCAGGGCUCGACCCUGAAACUGCACUCGAUACUGCUCUGCUUGAGGACUGGAGAGGAGACUGGAAUUCACGGUGUAGCAGUGAAAUGCGUAGAUAUCGUGAGGAAGACCAGCGGCGAAGGCGGGUCUCUGGACAGUUCCUGACGCUGAGGCGCGAAGGCCAGGGGAGCAAACGGG
RNAcentral lists this ribosomal RNA (253 nucleotides) under uncultured bacterium. RNAcentral describes it as "partial 16S ribosomal RNA". It matches the Rfam family "Bacterial small subunit ribosomal RNA", at positions 524 to 776 of the family's 1533-position model. The record is from RNAcentral.